This 274-nucleotide ribosomal RNA is filed under the name uncultured bacterium. RNAcentral describes it as "partial 16S ribosomal RNA". It matches the Rfam family "Bacterial small subunit ribosomal RNA", at positions 523 to 796 of the family's 1533-position model. The record is from RNAcentral.
AUACUGAGGGUGCAAGCGUUAAUCGGAAUUACUGGGCGUAAAGCGCACGUAGGCGGUUUAUUAAGUCAGAUGUGAAAGCCCUGGGCUUAACCUGGGAACUGCAUUUGAGACUGGUAGGCUAGAGUAUGGUAGAGGAUAGUGGAAUUCCGGGUGUAGCGGUGAAAUGCGUAGAUAUCCGGAGGAACAUCAGUGGCGAAGGCGGCUAUCUGGACCAAUACUGACGCUGAGGUGCGAAAGCGUGGGGAGCAAACAGGAUUAGAUACCCCUGUAGUCC